GGCGAGGCGAGGCCUGCGGAGCGGAGGAAGACAAACAUAAAGAUGAAGUGCUUAAUUCAAGGUCACACAAUGUCGGGGAUGGACCUCCAGAUUUCCUUACUGACCUGCAUUAUCUUGUGGAUACCUGAGUGAAUUCCACACCACCCAUUUUAUAGAUGAAACCACUGAGACAUGGAGCAAUUGACUGAGUAGUCACUGCCCCACCCCUGCCUGGAGCCUCACACAUGACUCGCCUCCUCUCAGUGACCACAGGUUGGUUGAGGGGUUUAACAAGGCUAAGAAGGUGAGACGUGGUCUUGUAACACAGUGGUUAAGAAUGUGACUUUGGAGCCAGCCUGCUAGGGGCUGAAUUCUGACUCAGCCAUUUACUAACUGUGUGACCUUAGGGAGGAGGACCUGGUUGAUAGAAGAAUUUAUCUCGUAGUCUUAACAUCCACUGUAAUUCCAAACUUUGAGGACGAUAGAGAUCAGUGGGCUUUGACUGCCCAGCAUGCAGUCUCCAUUCUUAGGUCACAGAAUUUUCCACACUCCUUGACAGAGGUGCUUAACCCUUAUCCAUCAGCAUUCUCAGACAGCACCUCCGGUUAGGGACAGUAUCUGACCGUCCGACAUCCCUGCAGCCCCCAUGUGUCACACAGACUCAGCCUCAGGUAGAUGGUUUCCGUAGAUGGUGGCUUUCUUUGGACCCUUGACAUCAACCAGUUACUAUUUGACUCUUCUGCAGAACCCCAUGUUGACCCCUGCUUUGAGGUGGCAGAGUUAACACUACUCUUCGUUAUAAGCUCUCGUCUGGGGCAACUCAGAAGAACGGGACCAGAUGUGCAGAGGUAAUGAAUACCA
This 840-nucleotide long non-coding RNA is filed under the name Homo sapiens (human). RNAcentral's name for it is "PCBP1 antisense RNA 1". Lineage: Eukaryota; Metazoa; Chordata; Mammalia; Primates; Hominidae. The record is from RNAcentral.